CGUAACAAGGUCUCCGUAGGUGAACCUGCGGAGGGAUCAUUACACAAAUAUGAAGGCGGGCUGGAACCUCUCGGGGUUACAGCCUUGCUGAAUUAUUCACCCUUGUCUUUUGCGUACUUCUUGUUUCCUUGGUGGGUUCGCCCACCACUAGGACAAACAUAAACCUUUUGUAAUUGCAAUCAGCGUCAGUAACAAAUUAAUAAUUACAACUUUCAACAACGGAUCUCUUGGUUCUGGCAUCGAUGAAGAACGCAGCGAAAUGCGAUAAGUAGUGUGAAUUGCAGAAUUCAGUGAAUCAUCGAAUCUUUGAACGCACAUUGCGCCCUUUGGUAUUCCAAAGGGCAUGCCUGUUCGAGCGUCAUUUGUACCCUCAAGCUUUGCUUGGUGUUGGGCGUCUUGUCUCUAGCUUUGCUGGAGACUCGCCUUAAAGUAAUUGGCAGCCGGCCUACUGGUUUCGGAGCGCAGCACAAGUCGCACUCUCUAACAGCAAAGGUCUAGCAUCCAUUAAGCCUUUUUUUCAACUUUUGACCUCGGAUCAGGUAGGGAUACCCGCUGAACUUAAGCA
This 565-nucleotide ribosomal RNA is filed under the name uncultured fungus. RNAcentral describes it as "eukaryotic LSU rRNA". The stretch from base 208 to 361 matches the Rfam family "5.8S ribosomal RNA". The record is from RNAcentral. Lineage: Eukaryota; Fungi.